This 515-nucleotide ribosomal RNA is filed under the name uncultured bacterium. RNAcentral's name for it is "partial 16S ribosomal RNA". It matches the Rfam family "Bacterial small subunit ribosomal RNA", at positions 28 to 523 of the family's 1533-position model. The record is from RNAcentral.
GAUGAACGCUGGCGGCGUGCCUAAUACAUGCAAGUCGAGCGAAUGGAUUAAGAGCUUGCUCUUAUGAAGUUAGCGGCGGACGGGUGAGUAACACGUGGGUAACCUGCCCAUAAGACUGGGAUAACUCCGGGAAACCGGGGCUAGUACCGGAUAACAUUUUGAACCGCAUGGUUCGAAAUUGAAAGGCGUCUUCGGCUGUCACUUAUGAAUGGACCCGCGUCGCAUUAGCUAGUUGGUGAGGUAACGGCUCACCAAGGCAACGAUGCGUAGCCGACCUGAGAGGGUGAUCGGCCACACUGGGACUGAGACACGGCCCAGACUCCUACGGGAGGCAGCAGUAGGGAAUCUUCCGCAAUGGACGAAAGUCUGACGGAGCAACGCCGCGUGAGUGAUGAAGGCUUUCGGGUCGUAAAACUCUGUUGUUAGGGAAGAACAAGUGCUAGUUGAAUAAGCUGGCACCUUGACGGUACCUAACCAGAAAGCCACGGCUAACUACGUGCCAGCAGCCGCCGUAA